RNAcentral lists this ribosomal RNA (1444 nucleotides) under uncultured organism. RNAcentral's name for it is "SSU rRNA". It matches the Rfam family "Bacterial small subunit ribosomal RNA". The record is from RNAcentral.
CUAUUUACAGGCUUAACACAUGCAAGUCGAGGGGCAUCAGGAAGAAAGCUUGCUUUCUUUGCUGGCGACCGGCGCACGGGUGAGUAACACGUAUCCAACCUGCCCUUUACUCGGGGAUAGCCUUUCGAAAGAAAGAUUAAUACCCGAUGGCAUAAUGAUUCCGCAUGGUUUCAUUAUUAAAGGAUUCCGGUAAAGGAUGGGGAUGCGUUCCAUUAGGUUGUUGGUGAGGUAACGGCUCACCAAGCCUUCGAUGGAUAGGGGUUCUGAGAGGAAGGUCCCCCACAUUGGAACUGAGACACGGUCCAAACUCCUACGGGAGGCAGCAGUGAGGAAUAUUGGUCAAUGGGCGCUAGCCUGAACCAGCCAAGUAGCGUGAAGGAUGAAGGCUCUAUGGGUCGUAAACUUCUUUUAUAUAAGAAUAAAGUGCAGUAUGUAUACUGUUUUGUAUGUAUUAUAUGAAUAAGGAUCGGCUAACUCCGUGCCAGCAGCCGCGGUAAUACGGAGGAUCCGAGCGUUAUCCGGAUUUAUUGGGUUUAAAGGGAGCGUAGGUGGACUGGUAAGUCAGUUGUGAAAGUUUGCGGCUCAACCGUAAAAUUGCAGUUGAUACUGUCAGUCUUGAGUACAGUAGAGGUGGGCGGAAUUCGUGGUGUAGCGGUGAAAUGCUUAGAUAUCACGAAGAACUCCGAUUGCGAAGGCAGCUCACUGGACUGCAACUGACACUGAUGCUCGAAAGUGUGGGUAUCAAACAGGAUUAGAUACCCUGGUAGUCCACACAGUAAACGAUGAAUACUCGCUGUUUGCGAUAUACAGUAAGCGGCCAAGCGAAAGCAUUAAGUAUUCCACCUGGGGAGUACGCCGGCAACGGUGAAACUCAAAGGAAUUGACGGGGGCCCGCACAAGCGGAGGAACAUGUGGUUUAAUUCGAUGAUACGCGAGGAACCUUACCCGGGCUUAAAUUGCAGUGGAAUGAUGUGGAAACAUGUCAGUGAGCAAUCACCGCUGUGAAGGUGCUGCAUGGUUGUCGUCAGCUCGUGCCGUGAGGUGUCGGCUUAAGUGCCAUAACGAGCGCAACCCUUAUCUUUAGUUACUAACAGGUUAUGCUGAGGACUCUAGAGAGACUGCCGUCGUAAGAUGUGAGGAAGGUGGGGAUGACGUCAAAUCAGCACGGCCCUUACGUCCGGGGCUACACACGUGUUACAAUGGGGGGUACAGAAGGCAGCUAGCGGGUGACCGUAUGCUAAUCCCAAAAGCCUCUCUCAGUUCGGAUCGAAGUCUGCAACCCGACUUCGUGAAGCUGGAUUCGCUAGUAAUCGCGCAUCAGCCACGGCGCGGUGAAUACGUUCCCGGGCCUUGUACACACCGCCCGUCAAGCCAUGGGAGCCGGGGGUACCUGAAGUACGUAACCGCAAGGAUCGUCCUAGGGUAAAACUGGUGACUGGGGCUA